RNAcentral lists this ribosomal RNA (572 nucleotides) under Cladosporium cladosporioides. Its description in RNAcentral is "LSU rRNA". It matches the Rfam family "Eukaryotic large subunit ribosomal RNA", at positions 65 to 650 of the family's 3401-position model. The record is from RNAcentral. Lineage: Eukaryota; Fungi; Ascomycota; Dothideomycetes; Cladosporiales; Cladosporiaceae.
CCAACAGGGAUUACCUUAGUAACGGCGAGUGAAGCGGUAAGAGCUCAAAUUUGAAAUCUGGCACUCUCAGUGUCCGAGUUGUAAUUUGAAGAAGGUAACUUUGGGAUUGGCUCUUGUCUAUGUUCCUUGGAACAGGACGUCACAGAGGGUGAGAAUCCCGUGCGAUGAGAUGCCCAAUCCUUUGUAAAGUGCUUUCGAAGAGUCGAGUUGUUUGGGAAUGCAGCUCUAAGUGGGUGGUAAAUUCCAUCUAAAGCUAAAUAUUGGCGAGAGACCGAUAGCGAACAAGUACAGUGAUGGAAAGAUGAAAAGAACUUUGAAAAGAGAGUGAAAAAGUACGUGAAAUUGUUGAAAGGGAAGGGCUUGAGAUCAGACUUGGUGUUUUGUGAUUAUCUUUCCUUCUUGGAUUGUGCACUCGCAUUAUACUGGGCCAGCAUCGGUUUGGGUGGUAGGAUAAUGACAUUGGAAUGUGGCUCUACUUCGGUGGAGUGUUAUAGACUUUGUUGAUACUGCCUACCUAGACCGAGGACUGCGUCUUUUGACUAGGAUGCUGGCGUAAUGAUCUUAAGCCGCCC